This 537-nucleotide unclassified non-coding RNA is filed under the name Hevea brasiliensis (rubber tree). The record is from RNAcentral. Lineage: Eukaryota; Viridiplantae; Streptophyta; Magnoliopsida; Malpighiales; Euphorbiaceae.
AUCCAUAGUCGGUUCACCAAUAGUAAUGUUCACUUUUUGAACCAGCAAGAGACCUUCAAUAAUGUGAUUUAGCCAAUAGGAAAGCCUCUUAUGCAUCAUAUUUAGUGCCCACCUGAUACAGUUUUUGGAGCCAGCUUUUAAGAGUUUCUUCAACCACUGAACUAGAAGAGUUCGGUAAACCAAAAAGAAAAGCCAGCGGCCAGCUUUUGAUUUUUUUUAACUUAGAAAGCUUUACGAUCAAUUAACUAUCAUGGUAACGACCAUUAAGUGAAGUAACAGCCAUUAUAUAACAGAUUUUGGGGUACCAUCGCCCCCAUUAUAUAACAUAUGGAAUUUUAUUUUGCAUGGGUAAAGGCCCUUACCACCAUUACAUAAUGGUAAAGGGCGUUAUCCAGAGAAUUUUCCCUUAGGUAACAACUGUAACGGCCUUUAAUAUAUAAAGCUUGCCUUCUCCGGUAGGCUGCUCAUUUCUUUCUUGUUUUCUCCUUAAAUUAAUUUCACUUUUUACUUUUACCAAGAGCAAAUAGAAAGUGAUGG